CGACCCAGCAUCUGAGACUACUUCUCUGUCUCUGAAUGGGCUGUUCCUUCUUUGUGUUUUUCAAUUUGGCUGAAUGGUGAAAUUUUAAGCCAUCCAUCCAGCUCCUGCUACUUUCUCUGAGUAUUGUCUGUCACCUGAAGACCCUGAGGAAAGGAAACCCCCCGGCUCGACAUGAAGCGCCACAUUUAUCCUUCUCCCCUUCUCACUUCCUCAUCCAUCUUCAGAGUACGUGAGCAACUGUAACUCAACGUGAACAAACCCGAAG
Long non-coding RNA from Gorilla gorilla gorilla (western lowland gorilla), 265 nucleotides. RefSeq lists it as uncharacterized. The transcript is spliced from 3 exons. Lineage: Eukaryota; Metazoa; Chordata; Mammalia; Primates; Hominidae. The record is from RefSeq and is a predicted model, not a curated record.